RNAcentral lists this unclassified non-coding RNA (286 nucleotides) under uncultured fungus. RNAcentral's name for it is "partial contains 5.8S ribosomal RNA, internal transcribed spacer 2, and large subunit ribosomal RNA". Lineage: Eukaryota; Fungi. The record is from RNAcentral.
AAUGCACCUUGCGCUCCUUGGUAUUCCGAGGAGCAUGCCUGUUUGAGUGUCAUGGUAUUCUCAAUUCUCUCAGUGUUUGCUAGAAUGAUAUUGGACUUAGAGAUACUUGCUAGCGUUCUUCAGAAACCAGCUCCUCUUGAAUGCAUCAGUGUGAACAUUCGCUUCAUACUCAGUGUGAUAAUUAUCUAUGCUGUGUUUAAGCAAUAUAGCUUCAUGCUUCAAACUGUUGCAAGAUAAUGCUCUGACUUCUGACCUCAAAUCAGGUAGGACUACCCACUGAACUUAA